RNAcentral lists this non-coding RNA (21 nucleotides) under Caenorhabditis elegans. Lineage: Eukaryota; Metazoa; Nematoda; Chromadorea; Rhabditida; Rhabditidae. The record is from RNAcentral.
UAUUAUUAUGAUGUAAAUUUC